GCGAGUCGAGAGACGUAAGGUCUCGGCGGACCGCUCAGUAACACGUGGAUAACAUGCCCUAAGGAGGGGGAUAAUCUCGGGAAACUGAGGGUAAUACCCCAUAGGUCUAUUUUGCUGGAAUGCUAAUAGGCCGAAAACUCCGGUGCCUUAGGAUUGGUCUGCGGUCUAUCAGGCUGUAGUGGGUGUAAUGGACCCACUAGCCCGUGACGGAUAUGGGCCUUGAGAGAGGGAGCCCAGAGAUGGACUCUGAGACAUGAGUCCAGGCCCUACGGGGCGCAGCAGUCGCGAAAACUUCGCAAUGGGGGCAACCCCGACGAGGGAAUUCCAAGUGCUAGCACUUUGUGUUAGCUGUUCUUCUGUCUAAAAAACAGGAGGAGUAAGGGGCGGGUAAGACGGGUGCCAGCCGCCGCGGUAAUACCCGCGCCCCAGGUGGUGGUCGAUAUUAUUGAGCCUAAAACGUCCGUAGCCGGUCUUCUAAAUCCUUGGGUAAAUCGGGCAGCUUAACUGUCCGAAGUCCGGGGGGACUGGGAGACUUGGGACCGGGAGAGGUCAGAGGUACUUCUGGGGUAGGGGUAAAAUCCUGUAAUCCUGGAAGGACCACCGGUGGCGAAGGCGUCUGACUAGAACGGAUCCGACGGUGAGGGACGAAGCCCUGGGGCGCAAACGGGAUUAGAUACCCCGGUAGUCCAGGGUGUAAACGCUGCGGGCUUGGUGUUGGGGGUCCUUAGUGGGCGCCCAGUGCCGGAGAGAAGUUGUUAAGCCUGCUGCUUGGGGGGUAUGUCCGCAAGGAUGAAACUUAAAGGAAUUGGCGGGGGAGCACCGCAACGGGAGGAGCGUGC
This 839-nucleotide ribosomal RNA is filed under the name uncultured archaeon. RNAcentral's name for it is "bacterial SSU rRNA". It matches the Rfam family "Archaeal small subunit ribosomal RNA", at positions 53 to 898 of the family's 1478-position model. The record is from RNAcentral.